GCAAAGAGAGUCAUAGUAUUACUCAAUUUAUUUUAUUGUCACUGUAGUUUCCUAUAUGACUAUAAGAGAGUACUUAACAGUCACUAUAGUGUGAUAUAUCAUUAAUCAAGAGAGGAAGAGGAUGCGAGAAGUCCAAACUGUAAAAAUUAGUAUUUUUUUCCUUUUUUUUUAAAUUGAGAGGAUAGGUGGGAUAAUCCUCACCUUUCCAUACUAAACCCAUCCUAACCUCAAGAUUCAUUAGAUAGGUCAAAAUAAUUUCAUAUAAAAGCAUGAGUCAUCGAAUUGAUGUCCUUCUAGUAGUUCUUGAUAAGAAAAUUUGACUCAAAUGUUAAUAGAUCUACAUAAUGAAAAAAGUUUAAAGGACUUGACCACUUUAAGAUCUUAGAUAUUUCUAAACUAACCAAUUUCUAAUUAGAUGUAAGAGGACAUACUUGUUAGAAUAUAUUGAUUAAUUAAUCGUGUCAAACUUAGUCGGCCUUACCAAACUUCACCUUGAUUGAUUUGUGAUUGAUUAUACCAAACUUAGUCGGCCUUACCAAACUUCAUCAGCCUCCUAGUCUAUAUAAAGGAUACUCUUGUACAUUGUAAUAGACCGGUAGAAAUACAAUUCUCUUCUCUUAUUCUUCAUUUUCAACAUGGUAUCAGAGCCAUUAAUCACAUAACCUGCCGCCAUCUUCUCUUCCACCUUGUUGUCGUCCUCUCUUCUGUGAUUGUCGUCGUCGCUUGCAGAUCCUCUAUUUCUUCUGCCUCAUUUGGGGGUAACCAAGGCUCCGGCCUCGGCGGCUUUCGAAGCCCCCUUAUUUCACUCUCUAUUCAACUUCUCAUAUUCAACUUCUUCUCAUAUUCCGUGGCCUUCCAUUAAAUUGUUCUGACCCGUUCACUCUCUCUCUUCUAUUAAAUUGUCUUCUAUAUGAAAACUAUACAGAACUCUUCAUCUCUCUCUCUCACGAACUCUUCCAUCCUCUUUUUAUUAAAACCAUCUGCCCCCUUCAUUACCAACCCCUAACUUAGCCGUAAUCUAUCUCCUCCUCUCCUUUUCGUGCUCCUUCCUUUUCCUCAAGGAAGACGAGUAGUGGCACCUCUCCAGUUGACAUCUACUCCUCUUCGGCGCCUCCAACGACAAAUCCCCACAUUCUCGAUCUCUCUUUUUUUCUUUUCCCUUUCCCUUUUUGGGGCCAUUUUGGGAUUUCUCUGAUUUAGAUUUGGGAUUUCUUGAUGUGGGUCCGGGGUUGGGGUGGUUAUCAUGACUGUCUGAUCUUGACCCGGCCGUUGAGAAGAAAAGGAGCUGGAUGCUGAUUUGAGGAGAAAGGUCCUUUCUAUCAUUGGGACUUGCUGCAAUUUCUUGAUCUUGUUUUAUAUAUUAUUUGUUAUCUUGCACAUGGUUCCUGUUCCACCGGAGAUGAGGGAGUUAAGCUUCCUGAGCACCAGUGCUCCUGUUGAGGGAGUUAAGCUCCCUGAGCACCCGCUUUUAGUGCUUCUGUUCCUUUGUAUCGGUAAACUCCAAACUCCAAUGCGUCAAACCGUACCAUCAGAAACUUGGCGAAGGUAAACUUGGCAAGCACAAUUUUGCUCCAAAUCUCAGUAGCAGCGCGUCAAAUAAUACUGUCAGAAACUUGGCGAAGGUAAACCUGGCAAGCGCAAUUUCGUUCCAAAUGUCAGUAGCAGCGCGUCAAACUGUACCGUCAGAAGCUUGGCUGGCAAGCACAAUUUUGCUCCAAAUCUCAGUAGCAGCGUGUUAGACCAUACCAUCAGAAGCUUGGUGGAAAAACUUGGCAGGCGCGGUCUCGCUCCAAACUCCAGUAGCAGCGCGUCAAACCGUAUCGUUAGAAGCUUGACAGAUAAAUUUGGCAGGUGCAGUCUUGCUUCAAACCCCAGUAGCAG
This 1881-nucleotide long non-coding RNA is filed under the name Phoenix dactylifera (date palm). RNAcentral describes it as "long non-coding RNA (PDAC_LNC006173)". Lineage: Eukaryota; Viridiplantae; Streptophyta; Magnoliopsida; Arecales; Arecaceae. The record is from RNAcentral.